AGAGUUUGAUCAUGGCUCAAGAACGAACGCUGGCGGCAUGCCUAACACAUGCAAGUCGAACGAGACCUUCGGGUCUAGUGGCGCACGGGUGCGUAACGCGUGGAAUCUGCCCUUGGGUUCGGAAUAACAGUUAGAAAUGACUGCUAAUACCGGAUGAUGUCUUCGGACCAAAGAUUUAUCGCCCAGGGAUGAGCCCGCGUAGGAUUAGCUAGUUGGUGGGGUAAAGGCCUACCAAGGCGACGAUCCUUAGCUGGUCUGAGAGGAUGAUCAGCCACACUGGGACUGAGACACGGCCCAGACUCCUACGGGAGGCAGCAGUGGGGAAUAUUGGACAAUGGGCGAAAGCCUGAUCCAGCAAUGCCGCGUGAGUGAUGAAGGCCUUAGGGUUGUAAAGCUCUUUUACCCGGGAUGAUAAUGACAGUACCGGGAGAAUAAGCCCCGGCUAACUCCGUG
RNAcentral lists this ribosomal RNA (453 nucleotides) under uncultured bacterium. RNAcentral's name for it is "bacterial SSU rRNA". It matches the Rfam family "Bacterial small subunit ribosomal RNA", at positions 8 to 507 of the family's 1533-position model. The record is from RNAcentral.